AUAUCAGUCAUGCAUAGCAUAUCAAUAAGCGGAGGAAAAGAAACUAACAAGGAUUCCCUUAGUAACGGCGAGUGAAGCGGGAAGAGCUCAAAUUUGAAAUCUUCAAGGUUUUACCUUGACGAAUUGUAGUUUAAAGAAGUGUUUUCUGUUGAAGUUUUGGUAAAAGUUCUUUGGAAUAGGACAUCAUAGAGGGUGAGAAUCCCGUAUUUGAUCCAUUACUUUCAGCUUUGUGAUACACUUUCAAAGAGUCGGAUUGUUUGGGAAUGCAGUCCAAAAUGGGUGGUAAAUUUCAUCUAAAGCUAAAUAUUGGCGAGAGACCGAUAGCGAACAAGUACCGUGAGGGAAAGAUGAAAAGAACUUUGAAAAGAGAGUUAAACAGUACGUGAAAUUGUCAAAAGGGAAGCGUUUGACACCAGUGUUGUUUUCUCGAAAAUCAAUUAAAAAGAGUUGGAUUUUGUGUUGUAUUGACUUUAUCAGCUUUCUUCACUCUUUUCCAGCUUUUUUUAAUGCACUUUUCGUUUAACAAGUCAACAUCAGUUUCUUUUGUUGUAAAAAGGUCAUUGGAAGGUGGCUUUCUCUUCGGAGAAAGUGUUUAUAGCCUUUGACUCAUGCAAUCGGAGAGACUGAGGUCUGCAGCGUAGAUCCUUCGGGGUUAGAUACAUUUGUGCUAAGUUAUAGCUUUUCAUAGACAACUUGUUGACUAUGUUUAGUCUUGUAGCUUACUCGCUUAUGCUAUUUUACCUACGCUUAGGAUGUUGAACUCUAUCACACACAG
Molecule: ribosomal RNA, 775 nt
Filed under: uncultured Neocallimastigales
Lineage: Eukaryota; Fungi; Neocallimastigomycota; Neocallimastigomycetes; Neocallimastigales
Description: partial large subunit ribosomal RNA
Rfam family: Eukaryotic large subunit ribosomal RNA
Source: RNAcentral